GUUUUAGUAGUUUAAAAAAAACUUUGGUCUUGUAAACCAAAAAUGAAAAAAUUUUCCUGAAACU
Molecule: transfer RNA, 64 nt
Filed under: Maja crispata
Lineage: Eukaryota; Metazoa; Arthropoda; Malacostraca; Decapoda; Majidae
Description: tRNA-Thr
Rfam family: tRNA
About the family: Transfer RNA (tRNA) molecules are approximately 80 nucleotides in length. Their secondary structure includes four short double-helical elements and three loops (D, anti-codon, and T loops). Further hydrogen bonds mediate the characteristic L-shaped molecular structure. tRNAs have two regions of fundamental functional importance: the anti-codon, which is responsible for specific mRNA codon recognition, and the 3' end, to which the tRNAs corresponding amino acid is attached (by aminoacyl-tRNA synthetases). tRNAs cope with the degeneracy of the genetic code in two manners: having more than one tRNA (with a specific anti-codon) for a particular amino acid; and 'wobble' base-pairing, i.e. permitting non-standard base-pairing at the 3rd anti-codon position.
Source: RNAcentral